GGCACCUCUACAUCAGCACUGCUUGGGAGGCCACGGAGCGGGCAAGGAGCAGCAUGGAGCACAUGGUCUGAUAGCACAGCACACAACGCAGCCCCCCUUCCACGCUGCUCCAAACCGCACAGACCAGGUUGGGUUACACCUCAGGUUGGGUUACACACCUCAGACACAUUCACCUUUUGCCACCACCUCCACUCGUACCACUGUGCUCAGCGCAUACUCACCGUCACUGCACAGACUCAGCUGCUGACAUUCAACUACAAAUCUUCAGCGUAGCGGCAGCGGGCGGGGUUGGGCCGCGGGGCAGCACGACCGGCCUG
Molecule: long non-coding RNA, 317 nt
Filed under: Gallus gallus (chicken)
Lineage: Eukaryota; Metazoa; Chordata; Aves; Galliformes; Phasianidae
Source: RNAcentral